AUCGAUGAAGAACGCAGCGAAAUGCGAUAAGUAAUGUGAAUUGCAGAAUUCAGUGAAUCAUCGAAUCUUUGAACGCACAUUGCGCCCCUUGGUAUUCCGGGGGGCAUGCCUGUUCGAGCGUCAUUUCAACCCUCAAGCCUAGCUUGGUCUUGGGCUCUGCCGGCAACGGCUGGCCUUAAAAUCAGUGGCGGUGCCAUCGAGCUCUACGCGUAGUAAUUAAACCCUCGCGUGUGAGUCCCGGUGAGUGCUUGCCAGCAACCCCCAAUUUCUAUGGUUGACCUCGGAUCAGGUAGGGAUACCCGCUGAACUUAAGCAUAUCAAUAAGCGGAGGAAAAGAAACCAACAGGGAUUACCUCAGUAACGGCGAGUGAAGCGGUAACAGCUCAAAUUUGAAAUCUGGCUCUUUCAGGGUCCGAGUUGUAAUUUGUAGAAGAUGCUUCGGGUGUGGCUCCGGUCUAAGUUCCUUGGAACAGGACGUCAUAGAGGGUGAGAAUCCCGUAUGUGACUGGCUGCCUCCGCCCAUGUGAAGCUCUUUCGACGAGUCGAGUUGUUUGGGAAUGCAGCUCAAAAUGGGUGGUAAAUUUCAUCUAAAGCUAAAUAUUGGCCAGAGACCGAUAGCGCACAAGUAGAGUGAUCGAAAGAUGAAAAGCACUUUGGAAAGAGAGUUAAACAGUACGUGAAAUUGUUGAAAGGGAAGCGCUUGCAAUCAGACUUGCACGCUGCCGAUCAUCCGGGGUUCUCUCCGGUGCACUCGGUAGUGUUCAGGCCAGCAUCGGUUUGGGUGGUUGGAUAAAGGCCUUGGGAAUGUAGCUUCUUUCGGGGAGUGUUAUAGCCCAAGGUGCAAUGCAGCCUACCUGGACCGAGGACCGCGCUUCGGCUAGGAUGCUGGCGUAAUGGUUGUAAGCGACCCGUCUUGAAACACGG
This 924-nucleotide ribosomal RNA is filed under the name uncultured Ascomycota. Its description in RNAcentral is "eukaryotic LSU rRNA". The stretch from base 276 to 924 matches the Rfam family "Eukaryotic large subunit ribosomal RNA", at positions 1 to 664 of the family's 3401-position model. The record is from RNAcentral. Lineage: Eukaryota; Fungi; Ascomycota.